AGAACGAACGCUGGCGGCAUGCCUAAUACAUGCAAGUCGAACGAACUCUUCGGAGUUAGUGGCGCACGGGUGCGUAACGCGUGGGAAUCUGCCCCUUGGUUCGGAAUAACAGUUGGAAACGACUGCUAAUACCGGAUGAUGACGAAAGUCCAAAGAUUUAUCGCCAAGGGAUGAGCCCGCGUAGGAUUAAGCUAGUUGGUGAGGUAAAGGCUCACCAAGGCAACGAUCCUUAGCUGGUCUGAGAGGAUGAUACAGCCAACACUGGG
This 266-nucleotide ribosomal RNA is filed under the name uncultured soil bacterium. RNAcentral describes it as "partial 16S ribosomal RNA". It matches the Rfam family "Bacterial small subunit ribosomal RNA", at positions 26 to 317 of the family's 1533-position model. The record is from RNAcentral.